CAUGCAUACAGAUUCUCUCUCCUCACCGCGGCUGCUGCUGGAGGAUGAAGGAGGGGUGGUGUUAGCAAUUCAAGACUGUCUUUCCUACCCUCUUCAGUGCCUUUCCUUGAUAAGCUGUUUAAACCAGAACUGUUUCCGGAAAAGGUAAAAAUAUAUUCUCCAAAGGGCAGUGACUUUCUACCUGUGAAAAUAAAAGUAAACUUCAGAAGAAAAUUCUGAAAGAGGAAUUUAGAGAUAUUCCAAAUAAAGGUAAUAUAGUUUCACUGGAACUGAAAUGUUGCCUUCCAAUUCUAUUACAGAAGGCAGAGUGGCACAUAUGGCACCUGGUUGGGAUGGACUCACUAAAGGAUUUAACCCAGACUUCUGAUCCACAAAUAUUACUGCUAUAUUAACUGAUUUGCAACAAAGAAAGAAAACAUCAUCAAGUUUAUUUUAUUAUUUAAAUAUGGGCUCAAAUCUUAAAUCUGACAAACUAAUAAAUAAACAUGUCUGAAAAGUAAA
Long non-coding RNA from Mandrillus leucophaeus (drill), 501 nucleotides. RefSeq lists it as uncharacterized. Lineage: Eukaryota; Metazoa; Chordata; Mammalia; Primates; Cercopithecidae. The record is from RefSeq and is a predicted model, not a curated record. The transcript is spliced from 2 exons.